This 465-nucleotide ribosomal RNA is filed under the name Vreelandella stevensii. RNAcentral describes it as "partial 16S ribosomal RNA". It matches the Rfam family "Bacterial small subunit ribosomal RNA", at positions 338 to 795 of the family's 1533-position model. The record is from RNAcentral. Lineage: Bacteria; Pseudomonadati; Pseudomonadota; Gammaproteobacteria; Oceanospirillales; Halomonadaceae.
CCUACGGGUCGCAGCAGUGGGGAAUAUUGGACAAUGGGCGAAAGCCUGAUCCAGCCAUGCCGCGUGUGUGAAGAAGGCCUUCGGGUUGUAAAGCACUUUCAGUGGGGAAGAAAGCCUUGGGGCUAAUACCCUCGAGGAAGGACAUCACCCACAGAAGAAGCACCGGCUAACUCCGUGCCAGCAGCCGCGGUAAUACGGAGGGUGCGAGCGUUAAUCGGAAUUACUGGGCGUAAAGCGCGCGUAGGCGGUCUGAUAAGCCGGUUGUGAAAGCCCCGGGCUCAACCUGGGAACGGCAUCCGGAACUGUCAGGCUAGAGUGCAGGAGAGGAAGGUAGAAUUCCCGGUGUAGCGGUGAAAUACGUAGAGAUCGGGAGGAAUACCAGUGGCGAAGGCGGCCUUCUGGACUGACACUGACGCUGAGGUGCGAAAGCGUGGGUAGCAAACAGGAUUAGAUACCCCUGUAGUC